GAUGAACGCUGGCGGCGUGCCUAAUACAUGCAAGUCGAGCGAACGGACGAGAAGCUUGCUUCUCUGAUGUUAGCGGCGGACGGGUGAGUAACACGUGGAUAACCUACCUAUAAGACUGGGAUAACUUCGGGAAACCGGAGCUAAUACCGGAUAAUAUUUUGAACCGCAUGGUUCAAAAGUGAAAGACGGUCUUGCUGUCACAUAUAGAUGGAUCCGCGCUGCAUUAGCUAGUUGGUAAGGUAACGGCUUACCAAGGCAACGAUGCAUAGCCGACCUGAGAGGGUGAUCGGCCACACUGGAACUGAGACACGGUCCAGACUCCUACGGGAGGCAGCAGUAGGGAAUCUUCCGCAAAGGGCGAAAGCCUGACGGAGCCACGCCGCGUGAGUGAUGAAGGUCUUCGGAUCGUAAAACUCUGUUAUUAGGGAAGAACAUAUGUGUAAGUAACUGUGCACAUCUUGACGGUACCUAAUCAGAAAGCCACGGCUAACUACGUG
Molecule: ribosomal RNA, 497 nt
Filed under: uncultured bacterium
Lineage: Bacteria
Description: partial 16S ribosomal RNA
Rfam family: Bacterial small subunit ribosomal RNA
Source: RNAcentral